RNAcentral lists this ribosomal RNA (478 nucleotides) under uncultured bacterium. RNAcentral describes it as "partial 16S ribosomal RNA". It matches the Rfam family "Bacterial small subunit ribosomal RNA", at positions 28 to 523 of the family's 1533-position model. The record is from RNAcentral.
GACGAACGCUGGCGGCGUGCUUAACACAUGCAAGUCGAACGGUAAGGCCCUUCGGGGUACACGAGUGGCGAACGGGUGAGUAACACGUGGGUGAUCUGCCCUGCACUUCGGGAUAAGCCUGGGAAACUGGGUCUAAUACCGGAUAGGACUCCUGGCUUCAUGGUUGGGGGUGGAAAGCUUUUGCGGUGUGGGAUGGGCCCGCGGCCUAUCAGCUUGUUGGGGGGGUAAUGGCCUACCAAGGCGACGACGGGUAGCCGGCCUGAGAGGGUGACCGGUCACACUGGGACUGAGAUACGGCCCAGACUCCUACGGGAGGCAGCAGUGGGGAAUAUUGCACAAUGGGCGCAAGCCUGAUGCAGCGACGCCGCGUGAGGGAUGACGGCCUUCGGGUUGUAAACCUCUUUCAGCUAUGACGAAGCGCAAGUGACGGUAGGUGCAGAAGAAGGACCGGCCAACUACGUGCCAGCAGCCGCUGUAA